Molecule: long non-coding RNA, 656 nt
Filed under: Volvox carteri
Lineage: Eukaryota; Viridiplantae; Chlorophyta; Chlorophyceae; Chlamydomonadales; Volvocaceae
Description: long non-coding RNA (VCAR_LNC000428)
Source: RNAcentral
UGGCAUGGAACCUUCGUCGGAGCUCUUGCCGUCGGUUGCCCAUUUUUCCGGAGAUUGUUUGAUUUCCGUUAUCGGCGUCUCUGUGGACUUGGGAUGAACUGCGUUGAUUUCUGUAAGGGCGAUGGAUAGUAUCCUUGCGUCUGCGUGUGACUGAAAGGGUGUAAUAGGGCUAAAUGUCCAAGUUGUAUCUAUUCCUAGCUAAUAACCUCCUUGAUGAUCUAUCUCGCAGUUCGGCACUGUCGCUGCUCUGUCGACCGUGGCCUCGACCUGGAUGAUGGCCGGCAACGCAAACGCCGCGACUGAACUUGCAACUCUGGCUGCCAACGACAACCGCCUGGGCAUCAUUGCAACCCUGUUUGUUCCUGCUCUGGGCUGGGUGGCCUUCAACAUUCUGGGCGGUCUGCAGGCGCAGCUGGACCAGAUGAGCGCUAAGAGCGACCCCAAGCGCAAGCGAGCUGUGCCAGCUGCGAUUGGCCUGGGAGCCGCUGCCACGCUGCUGGCUGCACAGUCUGCAGAGGCUUCGACUGAGCUCGCAACUCUGGCUGCCAACGACAACCGCCUGGGCAUCAUUGCAACCCUGUUUGUCCCUGCCCUGGGCUGGGUGGCCUUCAACAUUCUGGGCGGUCUGCAGGCGCAGCUGGACCAGAUGGGCGCUA